CUCUCAUAUUCCGCCAUCCCGGGCCGCGGCCUAGGCCAGGCGCUUCCGGGUUACACACCGAUGGGCGGGACUUCCUGCCGCGGGGCGGGGUCUCGUGCUCGGGAGUCGCCCAGUGCCCAGCCCCCGCCUCUUCCUUCGCUGCCAGGGCUGGCGCUGACCCCCCGGGAGCCGGGCCGAGCCAGUUGCUGACUGUUGAAGGAAGAAAGAGAGUUCCUAGCAGUCAUUAGCUUUUCAUAUCUCAAUAUUCAGCCUUCCUGUAAAGGUAACUUAAAGGGAAAGAGCAAUGGGACAAGAAUCAGGAUUCAGAAACAGAAAUGGGCAAUAAACAAACCAUUUUCACUCCAGAGCAGCUGGAUGCGUAUCAGGACUGCACAUUCUUUACAAGGAAAGAAAUUCUGAGGGGAAAAGGUCUGCUCAUUUCAAAGGCAAGAUUGUUUUACAGAUACCGAGACCUGGCCCCACAGCUGGUCCCACUCAGCUACAUAGAUAAACCAGAUGUGAAGCUUCCCUAUGAACUCAUUGGCAGCAUGGCAGAGCUGAAGGACAAUCCAUUCCGUCAACGGAUAGCAGAAGUUUUCUCAGAGGAUGGAGAGGGCAACAUGACUUUAGAUGACUUUUUGGACAUGUUUUCAGUGCUGAGUGAAAUGGCUCCCAGAGACCUCAAAGCUUACUAUGCCUUUAAAAUUUAUGAUUUUAACAAUGAUGAUUACAUAUGCAAAUCAGACUUGGAGAAAACUGUUAACAAACUGACCAGAAAUGAACUUACCCCAGAGGAGGUUUGUCUUGUAUGUGAUAAGGUGAUUGAUGAAGCUGAUCAAGACAAUGAUGGCAGACUCUCUGUGGAAGAUUUUCAGCACAUGAUAGUAGGAGCUCCUGAUUUCCUCAGUACAUUUCACAUUCGAAUCUGAAUCUGGUGAAAGAGAGAGAUGAGAACUGCAUCUUGAGUCUGCAAUAUGUCAUUACCUUUUGCUUGAGGUUACUGUUCAUAUGAAAGAGAUAAAUAAAGAGGACCAAAUAAGGAUUUUCAGACACUGAAGAGCAAGUCAGAAAAGUCUUGUUUUCUCUCGUUUAAAUCUUAAGAUACAAAGGGAAAUCCUGAUGAAUUGUAAUUUAGCAGAAGUGUUUUUUUGGCCAAUAAAAUAUUUUUUAAAAAAGUCUUGUUUUGAUUUACAGCCUGAGCAGAUCUGAUCUGUAAUGCAGUAAUGGAGAAUACAUGCAGCACAACAUGCUGUCAUUUUCAGAAGAAACUAUUUUUUGUAGUUCAGAGUGAGUCACGCCCUAAAAAGAACGUACAAAAAAAUAUACACCUCUACCCCGAUAUAAUACGGUCCUCGGGAGCCAAAAAAUCUUACUGCUCUAUAGUUUGCUGUGCUAGCGUGGAUCCUGAAAUGCAGCCGCUGGUUUCAGUCAGAUUCUCAGGGAGCAAAGCCACUAAGAGAUUUGCACAACUCGUAUCAUUAUUUAAAAGAACUGUGUGAGAAAACAAUUCUUCAUAAUCAAUAUUUUAAUCACUCUCCUGAAAAGAAAAAAAUAGACAACAGUGAAUAAGACUAUGAACAGGACCCUACGUGCUCUGUGACCUGCAGAAUAUGUCAAGGAACCUGAGCCUGGAAUCUGUGGUGUUCUAGUGCAGCAGACUGAAAAUUUGGUCUUUGCUUCAGAUAUAUGUGUAAAUGGAUUUUUUUUUAACUGAAUUAUGUGUGAAAAUGAGUAAUUCAAUUGGAACAACCUUCUUGUGUUAUUUAAUUUGGUAUUAAAUUUCAUUCAUUUAAAAAUGCAAGGACAGGGUAAAUUUUUGAUGUGCUGCAAAAUUUUGUAUUGAAAAUGCUUAGUUGCAUCACAGAAGUUGUCAGGAGUGAAGCUGGGGGUUUUGGGAGCUGGUUAGGGGACAGCUGGGGAAUUAUGGAAGGUUUUGAUAAACAUUGUUGAGAUGAAUGGGGCAGUUCACAUCCCCCGUAGAGCUACUGGUUCAGCCUGUCCGUAGAUGAAGGCAGACAUCACUGCAUUUAUUACAAUUGCUUCUCAUUUUUUUUAAUUAAAAAAAGUUAUUCUGGAGGACAAUUCCAUGGCAAAUUCCAUUGCUACAGCAUCACUGAAUACUGGGGACUCUGAAUAUAAAUAAUGGCUCAAGUUAACAUUAGAAAAUGAAAGCAGGGAUGCAGCCUGGAAUGCCGAGCACCACAUACUAGCUCAUUUUUUCAUUAAUAAAACAAUUUUAAAAGCCUGUCUGAGGGAUCAGGGGAGGGGAAUUCCUGGUCCUGCAUCUAUUUUCAAGCUCUAUUUCUGUAUCCAGUCUUUGCUACUGCAGGUCUGUGAUUUCUCAGCACUCAACAGCCUUCCUGUACGUCACUUAUAGUUUCCAGAGAGGCUGACUCAGAACAAAGUUAUCUAGGAUUUUAAUAAGCAUCAACCACACAUUAGUAGCAUCACCUAUAUCACCCAGCAAGAGGCACUGUAUGAUUACUGAAAGCUGCAACAAUAUCAUUUCUUCCUUAUGUUCACAGACCCAGGAGCAGUUUAUAUUGUUUCUGCACCAUAAGUAAAAUACAGUUACAGUACUCUACUGUAGGGCAAAAACAAAAGAUGAGGCACAUUCCUACUUGACUUACCUAUCCACGUAGUUGGAU
Mauremys mutica (yellowpond turtle) is the source of this 2627-nucleotide RNA transcript. It is a transcript of the gene named calcium and integrin binding family member 3, with no coding region annotated. NCBI's taxonomy places the organism in Eukaryota, Metazoa, Chordata, Testudines, Geoemydidae. The transcript has 10 exons. The record is from RefSeq and is a predicted model, not a curated record.